This 429-nucleotide ribosomal RNA is filed under the name Fusobacteriota bacterium. RNAcentral describes it as "Fusobacteria bacterium partial 16S ribosomal RNA". It matches the Rfam family "Bacterial small subunit ribosomal RNA", at positions 355 to 776 of the family's 1533-position model. The record is from RNAcentral. Lineage: Bacteria; Fusobacteriati; Fusobacteriota.
UGGGGAAUCUUCCGCAAUGGACGAAAGUCUGACGGAGCAACGCCGCGUGAGUGAAGACGGCCUUCGGGUUGUAAAGCUCUGUGAUCCGGGACGAAAGAGCCUGAGGUGAAUAGCCUAAGGAAGUGACGGUACCGGAAAAGCAAGCCACGGCUAACUACGUGCCAGCAGCCGCGGUAAUACGUAGGUGGCAAGCGUUGUCCGGAAUUAUUGGGCGUAAAGCGCGCGCAGGCGGCUUCCUAAGUCCAUCUUAAAAGUGCGGGGCUUAACCCCGUGAUGGGAUGGAAACUGGGAAGCUGGAGUAUCGGAGAGGAAAGUGGAAUUCCUAGUGUAGCGGUGAAAUGCGUAGAGAUUAGGAAGAACACCGGUGGCGAAGGCGACUUUCUGGACGAAAACUGACGCUGAGGCGAGAAAGCGUGGGGAGCAAACAGG